This 250-nucleotide ribosomal RNA is filed under the name uncultured prokaryote. RNAcentral's name for it is "partial 16S rRNA". It matches the Rfam family "Bacterial small subunit ribosomal RNA", at positions 525 to 775 of the family's 1533-position model. The record is from RNAcentral.
AAGUAGGGGGAAAGCGUUAUCCGGAAUUAUUGGGCGUAAAGAGUGCGUAGGUGGUUUUUUAAGCGUGAGGUGAAAGGCAAUAGCUUAACUAUUGUAAGCCUUGCGAACUGGAAGACUUGAGUGCAGGAGAGGAAAGUGGAAUUCCUAGUGUAGCGGUGAAAAGCGUCAAUAUUAGGAGGAGCACCAGUGGCGAAGGCUACUUUCUGUACUCUAACUGACACUGAGGCACGAAAGCGUGGGGAGCAAACAG